GGCUCCCCAGCAAUGUCUCCACCACUGCUGCUGCUACCCUUGCUGCUGCUGCUGCCUCUGCUGAAUGUGGAGCCUGCUGGGGCCACACUGAUCCGGAUCCCUCUUCGUCAAGUCCACCCUGGACGCAGGACCCUGAACCUACUGAGGGGAUGGGGAAAACCAGCAGAGCUCCCCAAGUUGGGGGCCCCAUCCCCUGGGGACAAGCCUGCCUCGGUACCUCUCUCCAAAUUCCUGGAUGCCCAGUAUUUUGGGGAAAUUGGGCUGGGAACGCCUCCACAAAACUUCACUGUUGCCUUUGACACUGGCUCCUCCAAUCUCUGGGUCCCGUCCAGGAGAUGCCACUUCUUCAGUGUGCCCUGCUGUGAGCUUCUAUGUGGGAGAAUAAGGCUGAAUGGGGGUGAAGGGAGAAGGCGGGGCUGGGCCUCAGCUUCCCAAAGGUUUUUGAGGAACUGUUCUUUUCUGACACCCUCAAAGGUCAGAAGGUUAAAGGGGCAGAAGGCAUUCGGAAAGCUCCCCUCCCACAGUGACACCUCUCUGACUUCUGACCUAGGGUUCCACCACCGCUUCAAUCCCAAUGCCUCCAGCUCCUUCAAGCCCAGUGGGACCAAGUUUGCCAUUCAGUAUGGAACUGGGCGGGUAGAUGGAAUCCUGAGUGAGGACAAGCUGACUGUGAGUGGC
Molecule: long non-coding RNA, 678 nt
Filed under: Homo sapiens (human)
Lineage: Eukaryota; Metazoa; Chordata; Mammalia; Primates; Hominidae
Description: non-protein coding lnc-KCNC3-1:1
Source: RNAcentral